UGGGGAAUAUUGGACAAUGGGCGCAAGCCUGAUCCAGCCAUGCCGCGUGAGUGAUGAAGGCCCUAGGGUUGUAAAGCUCUUUCACCGGUGAAGAUAAUGACGGUAACCGGAGAAGAAGCCCCGGCUAACUUCGUGCCAGCAGCCGCGGUAAUACGAAGGGGGCUAGCGUUGUUCGGAUUUACUGGGCGUAAAGCGCACGUAGUCGGACUUUUAAGUCAGGGGUGAAAUCCCGGGGCUCAACCCCGGAACUGCCUUUGAUACUGGAAGUCGUGAGUAGGGUAGAGGUGAGUGGAAUUCCGAGUGUAGAGGGGAAAUUCGUAGAUAUUCGGAGGAACACCAAUGGCGAAGGCGGCUCACUGGACCAUUACUGACGCUGGGGUGCGAAAGCGUGGGGAGCAAACAGG
RNAcentral lists this ribosomal RNA (404 nucleotides) under Actinomycetes bacterium. RNAcentral describes it as "Actinobacteria bacterium partial 16S ribosomal RNA". It matches the Rfam family "Bacterial small subunit ribosomal RNA", at positions 355 to 776 of the family's 1533-position model. Lineage: Bacteria; Bacillati; Actinomycetota; Actinomycetes. The record is from RNAcentral.